GUUCUUUUGAUCCUGCAUCUAGCGCAAGCAAGACGUGAUGUAAUGGAUCGAUUCUCCACUAGUGAGAGAGAUCCCGAGAAGUCAAAACAAGAUGGAGGGUUAAUGAUUGCGAGGGAUUCCGAGAGACCAAAACAAGAUAGAGGGGUCAUGAUUACGAGAAUCGCACGGGCGCCCCCGGACUAUCCGUGGGGUUAAAUGUAGCUGAAGGUAGUCAACAUGCCGGGCCCUUGGGGUACAGAUCCAUAUUAUGAAAAGAUGAUGACUGACCCUAUGCUAUUUACUGGAUAUUUACAAUAAAGAUUUAUAAUGCACAAUGUC
This is a long non-coding RNA of Saccostrea cuccullata (small rock oyster), 318 nucleotides long. RefSeq lists it as uncharacterized. The record is from RefSeq and is a predicted model, not a curated record. The transcript is spliced from 4 exons. Lineage: Eukaryota; Metazoa; Mollusca; Bivalvia; Ostreida; Ostreidae.